UAGAUACCCUAUUAUUUAAAAAUGUAAUUAAUUUACUAGAGUAGUAUUAGUUAUAUUCUUGAAACUUAAAAAAUUUGGCGGUAUUUUAGUCUAUUCAGAGGAACCUGUUAUUUAAUCGAUAAUCCACGAUGGACCUUACUUAAUUUUGUUUUUCAGCUUAUAUAUCGCUGUUAUAGAAUAUUUUAUAAGAAUAAUAAUUUUCAAUUAAUUUUAUUAAAUUGUAUAUCAAGUCAAGGUGUAGCUUAUAAUUAAGUGUUUUAAUGGGUUACAAUAAAUAUAUUUAAAUGGAAUAAAAAUUGCAAUAUUUUUAUGAAAGUGGAUUUGAUAGUAAAUUUUUAAAGAUAAAAAAAUUGAUUUUAGCUCUAAAAUAUGUACACAUCGCCCGAUCGCUCU
This 393-nucleotide ribosomal RNA is filed under the name Platypalpus pectoralis. RNAcentral describes it as "partial small subunit ribosomal RNA". The record is from RNAcentral. Lineage: Eukaryota; Metazoa; Arthropoda; Insecta; Diptera; Hybotidae.